UUUUUUUAUGCAUUUUGAAAGUUUAUGUACCUAAUUGAGUGGAAAAAAAAAGGAGCUUAAUUGUUUUUUUUUAAUUUGAGGGUUUUUUACAAUCUAAAGCAUAAAAAAAAGCAUUAUGGGUGUGUGCUAGGUGUCAGCACGAUGAAGAUCUUUUGGACCUUACUUUAAUAGAUAGGUAUAGGUAAUAAACCUUGCUUACUAAAAACGGGUAAAAAUAAAUGAAGGCCAUUGUAUCAAGAGUGAUGUAAGCACGCCCAGGUAAGCAUCUUCAAGAAGUUAUUUGGACAUUGUUAGCUCAAUUUUGGAGUGACAUUGAGCUCUAUGACAAAGAAGAAGUCCAAGCCAAUUUGUUAAAGGCUCCUUGCACCUUAGUGCAAGCUGAUCUCAGCUCGUCUCUAGCUCCUCGAACUCAACUCAGCUCCAAUCAGCUCACUUGAUCUUAUUUCAGCUCAUAUUAGCUCAAUUCAGUUUCAUUUCAGCUCAUUUUUUUAAUCAUUAAAUAAAUUAAAUGUUUAUUUUAUUUUAUUUUAUUUAUUACAACUUAUAGCCGAAUAUCCUAGCUCAAAUCAGCUCAUUAAAAUUGUUUUCACUUAUUUGAGUUAGCUGAAUUUAAUGUGUUAGCUAGUCUAAAAUUAAUUGUGUCCCAUUUAGUUUAAUUUGUUAUUUAAGUUGUCUAGUUGUUGUUUUAAUUAUGUUCAGCUGAAUAUGCAUUUGAUUUAAUGUGUUCAUGAAUUUUGUAGGUGCAGCCGAAUUUGAAAGAGCAUUUAAAGUUAGGUGCAUGCACGGCUUGGUUCAAUGUUUGGAAAGAUUCAUGUACGUCCAGGUUCAAGGCCAAGGAGUCAUGAAUGACUUGUUACAUGCAUUUUGAACUGAUUGUUGGCUUCCCUAAACACCCAUUCGGCCAAGGAGUAGCUACCAAUUAAUUCCAAAGUUGACUGAUUAGCUCCCAAGGCAGCCUUGAACAUGUUUCCACCUUGUUUUGACCAAUCAGCUUCUAUACAUGCAUGAAUAGAUGAAUUCAAGAACAUCCAAGGGGGAAUUAACACAUAAAUUCAACCCAUGAAAUUAACAACAUGCAUGCACAAUGGGGAGGACUAAUUUACAAGAUACAUGCUAUUGUUCAUAAACCUACAUUCCAUUAAAGUGACUAUUUAUGAGAAUAAAUGUUCCAUGCAAGUGCAUGAAUGACCCAAUGAGAUGAAUGAAACUUUUGGUGCUCAUACAAGGCACUUGAAGCUUUCUUCUAUGCUAAAAAUUCAUGCACAGGAAAGGGAAAGAAGAAUCUGACUAUUGAAGCUCCAUUCAACCGAAUGUGGACUUAGUCUUUUAAUGAUUUGUUCUAGAAUAUUCAAGUGCAUUCAUAGUCGAAUUACUUAGCCUUUAAGCUAGUUAUUUUUUCUAUUCGGUUAUCAUAUGUUAGGCUAUAAAUACUUAGCAUUUUUUAAUUGUAAGAGACUUUUGCCAACUUAUUGAAUGAACAUUUGUUCUUGUGAGGUUAAAUUCCUCUCCAAUUUCGUACAAGUCUCGAGUGACUUAUCUAGCUCGCUAGUAGCGUCAACCCAAACUUGUUUCUGAACUUAUCACCAAGCAUUGGUGUGGCGUUCAACUAUCUCUCUACCAUCUAUCUUUAUCACCUUAAACAAUAUAGGAACCGGGGUGACACUCUUUAAUGUUGAAUUGCUCCUGAAGUUUAAGUUCGUUUAUCCAUUUCCAUUAUCCUUCUUUGUUUAUCCUAUUAUCUUAAAACCAAGCUAUCCACAUAUCUUCUAACUUUGUCUCUAUCUAGCCAAACCUACUAUCUUAUACCUAGCCACUUUGAACCCACUUCAUUAAUAACCAUCAUCUUAAGGCGUUACAAACAAACCGAUAAUUUUGUGAACGACUCUUCUCAUCGAUGAUCAAGCAACAACGUGAAUUCAACUCCAUCUUCCCGAGCCAAAUCACAUCAAAGAGUUAGAUUGCAUUUUAUCCAUUUUACUCGAAAAAAUGAGUUAAUUAGUCCUUAGAUGUUAGAUAAAAGAGCAAAUUAGUCAUUUCUAUUAAAAAUUUUAUCAAUUUUUACUAUUAAAAAUUGACAUUGCUAAUGAAAUAAAUCGAUAGUUACACAUGGCAUGCCACAUAUACGUCAUUUUGAAAUAUAAGACUAGUUUUUAACAGUAUAAAUUGAUAAUCAAUUUUAAGCUCUACUACCCUAGCACGCUUUUGUCUGCCCUCUUGGCACGAUUUUUUCUAGGUUUUUCUUUGUUAUUUUGUUUCGUUCUCUUAUUUUGGUUGCGAUAGUUGAUGCAGAUUUAUUGGAGUUAUUAGCAAAAGUUAUCAAGGUAUAGAUUGAAUUCGAAUCAAUGGAAACGGAGUUUGUUGGAUCAUCCCUUAAUGAAGAGGAAAAAGCAGUUUUACAAUUACAAAUAGAUCCAGGUUCGAGAAGGGAAUAGGAGGAUUUAUGCUUGGUGGGUUGUUUUUUAACAGCCAUUAACAUACAUUUUCCAGUAAUGAAGAGCACCAUGGCUAAUAUAUGGCAUCCCAUUCGAGGGGUUCAAAUUUGUAAUCUGGGGGAGAAAAGGUAUUUAUUCUAAUUUUAUCAUAUCAUGGAUAUGAAAAGGGUUUUAAAGUGAUCACCGUGAUCUUUUAAUAAUCAUUUAUUGAUUUUACACAAGUUGCAAUGGGGGAGGAUCCAUUAACAGUCCCUUUAAUUUCUACACCAUUUUGGGUACAAGUUUAUGACAUUCCCAUAGGAUUUUAUUUUGAAAAUUUAGCUGUGCAAUUAGGAAAUUUCAUGGAUAUUUUAUGGAAUACGAGUGUUCAAGUUUGGGAAAGGAAAAUAGAAAUUUUGAGGAUACGUGUUUAAGUUGAUGUUCGAAGGCCUCCUAAAAUAAAGAAACAAGUCAUGGUUCGGUGGUAAAUGUUCUUAUGUCAGAUUUAAAUAUGAAAUAUUAAUUUUAUUCUAUUUUUAUUGUGGCAAGUUAGGGCAUAGUGAUUCAUUUUGUAAAGCAAAUAUGAUGUUAGGGGUGGAAGUUACUGAGAUGGGUUGGGACCUAACUCUAUGUGCCCAAUCAAAAAGAGCUUAAGCAAUGAAUAGUGUUUGACUAAGAGGGGAAGAGAGUGUGUUUGGUAGGGUAAAUGGUGGAGGACAAAAUCAAGAAUUUACAGUGGGGGGAUCGCUAAAGAAGAUGAAAGCAUAAAGGCGAUUGACCAUAUACUGGGUUUAAGUUUAGAAGGAAUAAUGCCAUCUCCACAGCUUGGGGGGAAACUUUGUAUCUAGUCAAAUCCAAAACUUUAUGGAUCAUGACUAAGAAGAUACUUUGUUAAUGGGGGAAUAAGGCAAAAAAAGGGCUAGAUGAGUGAUUGAAGAGACUAACACUAUGGCAAAUAGAAAUAGAAGGAUACCGAAAAUCAACCAGUUAUUAUCGGUAGCUGCCAAAAGGCAAGCCGACCAGACGCAAUAAAAAUAUUGACCUGGAAUGUCUGUGGACUGGGGAAUCCACUGACAGUUCGAAGACUUUUGCAUACGCUGAGGUUUCAAAGUCCCCAUAUAGUCUUCUUUAUGGAGACAAUUAAAUAGUAGUCAGAUGGAGAAAGUUCAACGUAGUUGUGGUUUUCAUUAUGGAGUGGAAGUGGAUGCGGUUGGUUCCAAAGGAGGAUUAUGUUUAGCAUAGCGAGGGGCGGUUGAUAUAAAGCUUCAAAGUUAUUCAAUUUGACAUAUUGAGGUGUUAAUUGAAGAUACAGAUGAUGGGAAAAAUAGAGAUUUACAGGGUUCUAUAGCUCUCCUUACACACAUGAUAGGGAUGAAUCAUGGCAUCUUUUGAGACGUUUACGAAAUAAUGGUGAUUACCCUUGGCUGGUUUGUGGGGACUUUAAUGAGAUUCUAUAUGGGUUUGAAGAGAAAGGUGGAUUAUCUAGAGAUGAGAGAAGGACAGAAGCUUUUUGAAAAGUGUUAGAAGACUGUAACUUGAUUGAUGUAGGAUACUCAGGAAGAUGGUUUACUUGGGAGAGGGAUAACUUGCUAGAAACGAAUAUUCAGGAGAGAUUAGAUAGGGGUGUAGUGACUAAAGAAUGGAUAUCUUUGUUUCCUGAAUUGUCAAUUCAACACCUUACUCAUUCCUUUUCAGAUCAUUGCCUUUUACUCAUCUCUACAUAUAGGAGAAAGAGAAGACAGAUUGCUAAGAAUUUUAAGUUUGAAGCUUGGUGGAUUUUGGAAUAUACGUUUUUAGAGGAGGUCUGAAGAAUUUGGGAAAAUUCAAAUGGAGAUCUUUUACACAAGUUGGAGAAUGAGGAAAGAUUUAGAAGGAUGGACAAAGUAGAUUAGCAGAAGUAGAAAGUUUAAAAAGGAGGUGUUCACCUCCAAAUUGUCAACUUUAUUGGAAGCUGAUAGAAACGACGAAAAUCUGGCAGAUAUAAUAGAUACUAAAAUUCUAUUGAAUUUUGAAAUUGAGAAAGAUGAAUGUUACUGGGAACAGAGGGCUCGAAUUAAUUGGUUGAAACUUGGAGACAGAAAUACUGCAUUUUUCAUAAACAAGCAACUCAAAGGAAAAUGAGAAAUCCGAUUCAGAAAAUGCAAUUUGAAGAUGACAAGAUAACAGAAAAAGAUAAGGACAUGGGGGAAAUCGCGAGAGAUUAUUUUCAGAAAUUAUUCUCGACAGUUGCGCAAGGAAAUUUGGAUCAAAUUCUAUCUAGCAUUGAUUGAUGUGUUUCCAAAUAAGACAAUCGAAUAUUAACAUCAAGGUAUACAAAGGACGAGAUAUGGGAAGCUUUAUCAGAAUUAGGUCCCACAAAAGCACCAGGAGAUGAUGGAUUUCCAGCCUUAUUUUAUCAAAAGUGUUGGCCCAUUAUUGGUGAGGAUGUUUUAGAAUUUUGCCUUCAGAAACUGAACAGAGAUAUGGACUUAGGCUUCAUCAAUAAAACAAACAUUGUGCUCAUACCAAAAAUUUCUAGCCCUACCAGUAUUAUUCAAUUUCGACCUACAAGUCUAUGCAAUGUGCUGUAUAAAUUGAUAGGUAAGAUGAUUGCCAAUCGGCUUCGGGUAAUGGUUGAAAAAUGUAUUGAUUUAGCACAAAGUGCUUUUGUACCAGGGAGGUUGAUUUUUGACAAUGUAUUGCUUUCAUACGAAAUACUGCAUAUCUUAAAGCAAAAGAAAUUGGGAAUAAAAGGUCUAAUGGCGAUAAAGUUAGAUAUGAGCAAGGCAUAUGACAGAGUUGAAUGGAAUUUUGUGAAAGAGAUUAUGAAGAAAAUGAGGUUUGAUGCAGGAUAGGUCGAGUCUCUAAUGAAAAGUGUGUCCAUAGUUUCGUAUUUUGUUGUUCUUAAUGGAAAUACAGGGGAAACUUUUUAUCCUUCUAGAGGUUUAUGGCAAGAAGAUCCUUUAAGUCCAUUUUUGUUUCUAUUUUGUGGGAAAGGUCUUUCUAGCCUGAUGAGGAUAGUAAGGAAAAUUCUUAAAUGAGUGAAAGCAAGUCGAAGUGGGCCAUCUAUUUCUCACUUACUCUUUGCGAACGAUUGCAUUCUGUUUACAUAAGCUACUGAAGGAGGAGCGCAAUCUCUCAAAUUGAUUUUAAAAGAAUAUGAAAUAUGCUUAGGACAGUGUGUUAAUUAUGAAAAUUUAACGGUGUUCUUCAGUUCAAAUACACAAGAUGAGGUCAAAACAUCAGUCUCAAGCAUCCUUGGUGUAUGAAGAUCAACAGAUCCAGAAUGGUAUUUAGGGCUUCCAAAUUUGGUGGGAAGGAAGAAAAGAUCGUCUUUCCAAGCUUUAAAAGAUAGAUUCAAACAAAGGAUCCACAAUUGGAGUAUAAGACAUCUUUCACAAUGAGGAAAAGAAAUUUUCAUUAAAGCCAUUCUACAGUCUAUCCCUACCUACACUAUGGCUCGUUUUUUACUCCCUAAAUCCUUGUGUAUCGAGUUGAAGAGAAUUAUAGCUAAAUUCUAGUGGCAAAGAGGUUGAAAUAAAAAAGGAAUUCCUUAGUGUGUUUGGAAGGAAUUAUGUUCGUUAAAAGAAGAUGGUGGACUUGGUUUUUGUGAUAUUGCAAAAUUUAAUAUAGCGUUGUUAGCAAAACAAGGUUAGCGUCUUGUUAAUUUUCCAGAUUCAUUAUUAGCGUGUGUCUUGAAAGUAAAAUAUGUCCCAACUCAGAUUUUUAUAAAGCUCGGUUAGGGAAUUUACCUUCGCUUACUUGGAGAAGCGUUUGGGCAGUAAGAGGUCUCUUGGAGAAAGGCUUAUGCUGAAGGGUUGGAACAGGUGAUAAAAUUUCUGUAUUGGGAUAUUUGUGGAUAUUAGGAAACGAAACAGACUGUUUGCAACAUCAUGGAAAUCAAGAAAACAUCAAGUUAGUGUCAGAUUUAAUAGAAAUCAAUAAUAGAACUUGGAACACAGAUGUUGUAAUGAUUACCUUUCAACUGGAAAUUGAGAGGAAAAUUUUGCAGAUCCCACUGGCAGAGUUAGCACACGAGGACUUUCAAGUUUGGAGGGGGAGUUUUCUAGUGAGUUCUCGGUAAUAAGUUUCUAUAAACUAUUACAAGAGACUAACAAGGAUCCUAAUAAUCUUAAUUUACAGACUGAGACUAAUAACUUUUACAAAAAAUUGUGGAAGCUAUACAUCCCUUCAAAAGUUACAUUAACAUUAUGGAGAAUAUCUUGGAAUUUCAUCCCUUCAUUAGUCAAUCUCAAGCAGAAGAAAGCAGUAGAUAAUGCUCUUUGCCCUCGAUGCCAACAAAAUGAGGAAAACAAUUAUCAUAUUUUUCAGUAGUGUCCUAUGACAAGAGAGGUUUGGAAUCAUUUAAAGCUCUCAUGGGUACUUAAUCAUAAUUACCAGAAUGUGUGGGAAUGGCUUACCUGAGUUUUUAAUUAGGGAACGACUGAACAGAUUCACUAUUUUUGCUGCGGACUUUGGCUAGUCUGGUUCAACAGGAAUCGGUUAAUAUAUGAUAAAAUAAAUGUGCCAGGGAGGGACAUUGCGAAGCAAACUUACAGUUAUAUUUAUGAGUUGCACGGGAUCAAAGAGAAGCGACUUAUUGUUCAGUCUAAUGGAGAUGCUACACAGGAAAGAAGAAAAUCAGAGGUCACAAUUUAUUUUGACGCAGCUUUUGACCAAUAAGCCUUCAGAUCGGCCUUAGGACUAAUAGUACGAGACGCGGAAAGAAGAAUUCUAGCAUUAAAGACGACCAUCCAUUUUGAAAUCGCAAAUCCAUUUGUGGUAGAGGCGUAUACAGGGUUACAAGCAGUCAAGUUAAGGUUAUUCAUGGGUCUUAAUAAACUGGAAUUUUUGGGAGAUUCAAAGACUGUAAUUAAAAAAUGCCAGAACACAGAGAUAGACAAAUCGAACAUCGGUGUGAUCAUCAGAGAUAUUCAGCGUAAGAAAGGUAGAUUUCAAGAGAUAAAGUUUCAUUUCAUACCCAAAACAGAAAAUUUCUACGCUCAUACUUUGGCGAAAGAGGCGCUAAAGAGAGGAGAUAACCAUUACCUGGUAGGAGGACUUCCAAAAUUUGCUCGCCAAGUAUCGGAAGAAUGGAGGCGUAGAGAAUCGGAUUGAAAGAAAAUGGAGAUGAAUGACCGUUUGGAAGAGGUAAUAGGAAAAAUUAAUUGCUGCCCUUGGAAACUGUUACCGUCACAAUGUUGGAGAGGGCAUGAAAAGACGACACAUUGAAGAUCCAGCUGUGGAUUUGACUGGACAAGACUUAUUAGGUUUCUUGUUUUGUUUUUUUAAUUUUUCAGAUUCAUGGACCAUUUAAUUUUAUUAGGCCGGCUUUGCUAUAUGUGCAAGCUUUGUA
Molecule: long non-coding RNA, 7746 nt
Filed under: Gossypium barbadense (sea-island cotton)
Lineage: Eukaryota; Viridiplantae; Streptophyta; Magnoliopsida; Malvales; Malvaceae
Description: long non-coding RNA (GBAR_LNC002091)
Rfam family: MIR7502 microRNA precursor family (bases 2038-2182)
Source: RNAcentral